GUACACUCCUGCGGGAGGCAGCAGUGGGGAAUAUUGCACAAUGGGCGCAAGCCUGAUGCAGCCAUGCCGCGUGUAUGAAGAAGGCCUUCGGGUUGUAAAGUACUUUCAGCGGGGAGGAAGGCGAUAAGGUUAAUAACCUUGUUGAUUGACGUUACCCGCAGAAGAAGCACCGGCUAACUCCGUGCCAGCAGCCGCGGUAAUACGGAGGGUGCAAGCGUUAAUCGGAAUUACUGGGCGUAAAGCGCACGCAGGCGGUCUGUCAAGUCGGAUGUGAAAUCCCCGGGCUCAACCUGGGAACUGCAUUCGAAACUGGCAGGCUAGAGUCUUGUAGAGGGGGGUAGAAUUCCAGGUGUAGCGGUGAAAUGCGUAGAGAUCUGGAGGAAUACCGGUGGCGAAGGCGGCCCCCUGGACAAAGACUGACGCUCAGGUGCGAAAGCGUGGGGAGCAAACAGGAUUAGAAACCCCGGUAGUCCCAUGAU
Molecule: ribosomal RNA, 479 nt
Filed under: uncultured organism
Description: partial 16S ribosomal RNA
Rfam family: Bacterial small subunit ribosomal RNA
Source: RNAcentral